UACUGUCUUCGACUGCUCGUAAAAUGGGCCAUAAAUUCUCAACUGAGCUGUUCAAAAGAAUGGAUGGUACCUGACUUCAGAUCCGAGCACCAUUACCGAGCUGCACCUCUCAGGGUUGAUGGAAAGGCCCUGCACAAGAUUGCAUCCGGUGCUUCAUAAAUGAGCAUCGUGGAGUUGAAGGAUACCACAUGAUCGAUGGGGUUGGUUGUCCCAUACUAGCUUUCCAACUGCGAAAGUCUGAAAUGGGCAGGCAGUGGCUUCUGCAUG
Molecule: long non-coding RNA, 267 nt
Filed under: Elaeis guineensis (African oil palm)
Lineage: Eukaryota; Viridiplantae; Streptophyta; Magnoliopsida; Arecales; Arecaceae
Description: long non-coding RNA (EGUI_LNC075540)
Source: RNAcentral